CCUACGGGUGGCAGCAGUGAGGAAUAUUGGUCAAUGGGCGGAAGCCUGAACCAGCCAAGUCGCGUGAGGGAAGAAUGUCCUAUGGAUUGUAAACCUCUUUUGUCAGGGAGCAAAGUCACCCACGUGUGGGUGUUGGAGAGUACCUGAAGAAAAAGCAUCGGCUAACUCCGUGCCAGCAGCCGCGGUAAUACGGAGGAUCCGAGCGUUAUCCGGAUUUAUUGGGUUUAAAGGGAGCGUAGAUGGGUUGUUAAGUCAGUUGUGAAAGUUUGCGGCUCAACCGUAAAAUUGCAAUUGAUACUGGCAGUCUUGAGUACAGUUGAGGUAGGCGGAAUUCGUGGUGUAGCGGUGAAAUGCUUAGAUAUCACGAAGAACUCCGAUUGCGAAGGCAGCUUACUAAACUGCCACUGACAUUGAUGCUCGAAAGUGUGGGUAUCAAACAGGAUUAGAUACCCUAGUAGUC
Molecule: ribosomal RNA, 460 nt
Filed under: uncultured bacterium
Lineage: Bacteria
Description: partial 16S ribosomal RNA
Rfam family: Bacterial small subunit ribosomal RNA
Source: RNAcentral